Galleria mellonella (greater wax moth) is the source of this 650-nucleotide long non-coding RNA. RefSeq lists it as uncharacterized. The transcript is spliced from 5 exons. The record is from RefSeq and is a predicted model, not a curated record. NCBI's taxonomy places the organism in Eukaryota, Metazoa, Arthropoda, Insecta, Lepidoptera, Pyralidae.
AAAACAAGAAAGAAAGAAAAUUGCUAGUAGAAUACCCAGAAUAAUUAAACCUUUGCCGUUGCAAAUGCAGUUUAAUAACAAUUAUUGUAAAUCACAGCAUCAACGGAAUUAUUCAGGUCGUGAACGAAAUAAAUUUACACGUAGUUAUAUUCCUUGUCGUAGAAAGCCUAUUAAACGUACUGGUAUAACUGGUAACUCUGUACCAGAAACAUCCAAUUUAUUCUUAUCAGAAUCUCCAAAUGUUCAAAGAAUUGAACUAUCGAGUAUAAGUCCAGAUUUUAACCAUAAAGAUCAAUGUCCUGCAACUUCUGUAGCAUCAACCAGACCCAUACCGAAAUUAGCAGAGAUUUACAGACUUAACGAUUUAUUAACAGGUGAAUAGUAUUUAUAAGACUGGUUUAUGGAAAUAAACGCUCCAGUCAAUUCUCUGGAGUCAAAUCCAGAGGACUUACAGAAUCGUUCUAAUGAUUGUCAAGACACUGCGCAAAGUGCAGUUGAUGUUGAGCUUUCAAAGUUUUCCCGGUGUAAUUCGAAAAACUCUAUUGCAAUAUCCAGCAGUGUCAAAUUUAUAGAAAACAUUAUUAAAACUACUGAUGAAAAUGUUAGUGAAUGCCUCUCGAGUGAAUUGAUUAAAUCAAAUAAAGACAACG